This 695-nucleotide ribosomal RNA is filed under the name Acinetobacter sp. XYL_409. RNAcentral describes it as "bacterial SSU rRNA". It matches the Rfam family "Bacterial small subunit ribosomal RNA", at positions 576 to 1270 of the family's 1533-position model. The record is from RNAcentral. Lineage: Bacteria; Pseudomonadati; Pseudomonadota; Gammaproteobacteria; Moraxellales; Moraxellaceae.
UGGCCAAUUAAGUCAAAUGUGAAAUCCCCGAGCUUAACUUGGGAAUUGCAUUCGAUACUGGUUGGCUAGAGUAUGGGAGAGGAUGGUAGAAUUCCAGGUGUAGCGGUGAAAUGCGUAGAGAUCUGGAGGAAUACCGAUGGCGAAGGCAGCCAUCUGGCCUAAUACUGACACUGAGGUGCGAAAGCAUGGGGAGCAAACAGGAUUAGAUACCCUGGUAGUCCAUGCCGUAAACGAUGUCUACUAGCCGUUGGGGCCUUUGAGGCUUUAGUGGCGCAGCUAACGCGAUAAGUAGACCGCCUGGGGAGUACGGUCGCAAGACUAAAACUCAAAUGAAUUGACGGGGGCCCGCACAAGCGGUGGAGCAUGUGGUUUAAUUCGAUGCAACGCGAAGAACCUUACCUGGUCUUGACAUAGUAAGAACUUUCCAGAGAUGGAUUGGUGCCUUCGGGAACUUACAUACAGGUGCUGCAUGGCUGUCGUCAGCUCGUGUCGUGAGAUGUUGGGUUAAGUCCCGCAACGAGCGCAACCCUUUUCCUUAUUUGCCAGCGGGUUAAGCCGGGAACUUUAAGGAUACUGCCAGUGACAAACUGGAGGAAGGCGGGGACGACGUCAAGUCAUCAUGGCCCUUACGACCAGGGCUACACACGUGCUACAAUGGUCGGUACAAAGGGUUGCUACCACGCGAGUGGAUGCUA